RNAcentral lists this ribosomal RNA (918 nucleotides) under uncultured bacterium. Its description in RNAcentral is "bacterial SSU rRNA". It matches the Rfam family "Bacterial small subunit ribosomal RNA", at positions 246 to 1155 of the family's 1533-position model. The record is from RNAcentral.
UAGUUGGGGGGGUAAAGGCCCACCAAGGCGACGAUCCGUAGCUGGUCUGAGAGGAUGAUCAGCCACACCGGAACUGAGACACGGUCCGGACUCCUACGGGAGGCAGCAGUGGGGAAUAUUGGACAAUGGGGGCAACCCUGAUCCAGCCAUGCCGCGUGUGUGAAGAAGGCCUUCGGGUUGUAAAGCACUUUAGGUCGGGAGGAAGGUUCGCUGGCUAAUAUCCAGCGGAAUUGACGUUACCGACAGAAUAAGCACCGGCUAACUCCGUGCCAGCAGCCGCGGUAAUACGGAGGGUGCAAGCGUUAAUCGGAAUUACUGGGCGUAAAGCGCGCGUAGGCGGCUUGGUAAGUCGGAUGUGAAAGCCCUGGGCUCAACCUGGGAACUGCAUUCGAUACUGUCAGGCUAGAGUGUGGGAGAGGGUGGUGGAAUUCCCGGUGUAGCGGUGAAAUGCGUAGAUAUCGGGAGGAACAUCAGUGGCGAAGGCGACCGCCCGGCCCAACACUGACGCUGAGGUGCGAAAGCGUGGGUAGCAAACAGGAUUAGAUACCCUGGUAGUCCACGCCGUAAACGAUGUCGACUAGCCGUUGGAGACCUUAGAGUUUUUAGUGGCGCAGCUAACGCGAUAAGUCGACCGCCUGGGGAGUACGGCCGCAAGGUUAAAACUCAAAUGAAUUGACGGGGGCCCGCACAAGCGGUGGAGCAUGUGGUUUAAUUCGAUGCAACGCGAAGAACCUUACCACCCCUUGACAUCCUGCGAACUUGGUAGAGAUACCUUGGUGCCUUCGGGAGCGCAGAGACAGGUGCUGCAUGGCUGUCGUCAGCUCGUGUUGUGAAAUGUUGGGUUAAGUCCCGUAACGAGCGCAACCCUUGUCCUUAGUUGCCAGCGAGUAAUGUCGGGAACUCUAAGGAGACUGCCGG